This 424-nucleotide unclassified non-coding RNA is filed under the name soil metagenome. RNAcentral describes it as "partial contains 5.8S ribosomal RNA, internal transcribed spacer 2, and large subunit ribosomal RNA". The stretch from base 1 to 120 matches the Rfam family "5.8S ribosomal RNA", at positions 35 to 154 of the family's 154-position model. The record is from RNAcentral.
GAUGAAGAACGCAGCGAAAUGCGAUAAGUAGUGUGAAUUGCAGAAUUCCGUGAAUCAUCGAAUCUUUGAACGCACAUUGCGCCUUCUGGUAUUCCGGAAGGCAUGCCUGUUUGAGAGUCAUUAACAACCGUUUCGAUCCCUUUCUUUCAGAAAUUACAAAGAGGAAAAGGGUUUGGUUAUGGUGGAGGAGGGAAAGGGAGCGUUUAGCCUGUAAAAAAAGAGGCUGUGUUCCGCCUCCCCCCCAAAAUUGUACAGGCGGUCGUGUGCGCCCACGCAUCGAGGUGUUGUAAAAGCUGCCACGGCACUUUUCACCUGUGCAGUGCGAGAUUGGCCAGCCGGUUUAAAAACCCCUCCAAACAAUCAAAGGUUGACCUCGGAUCAGGUAGGGAUACCCGCUGAACUUAAGCAUAUCAAUAACGGAGGA